UACGUAGGGUGCGAGCGUUGUUCGGAAUCAUUGGGCGUAAAGCGCGUGCAGGCGGCCUGUUAAGUCUGAUGUGAAAGCCCGGGGCUCAACCCCGGAAGUGCAUUGGAUACUGGCAGGCUAGAGGGCGAGAGAGGAAGGUGGAAUUCCAGGUGUAGGGGUGAAAUCCGUAGAUAUCUGGAGGAAUACCGAAGGCGAAGGCAACCUUCUGGCUCGCAUCUGACGCUGAGACGCGAAAGCGUGGGUAGCAAACAGG
This 253-nucleotide ribosomal RNA is filed under the name uncultured bacterium. Its description in RNAcentral is "partial 16S ribosomal RNA". It matches the Rfam family "Bacterial small subunit ribosomal RNA", at positions 524 to 776 of the family's 1533-position model. The record is from RNAcentral.